AUCUCCUCCCUUUGUCUAUCUUAUUACAUCGUAUGUGUUUCAUCGUAUAUUCCUUUGUUGUUGUCCAGGGUCAUAACGUCGUUGUUAUUCAAAGAGCCGUGAGAGAAUGAGAGGUAUGUAUCUUUGUAUGUCUGUGUUUAUCUCCCAUGUUUGUCUAUCUUAUUACAUCAUAUGAGUUCCAUCUUAUAGUUGUUUGUUCUUGUUCAGAUUCCAGACCUCGUUGUUAUUCAAAGAGCCGCGACAAAAAGAGAGAUAUGUAUCUUUCUAUGUCUCUGAUUCAAUGUUUGUUUUGAUCGAAUCAGUUUACUGAGCUUAUGGUUUUCGUAGGUACUCCAUGGAGAGAGGAAGAAAGAAGGAUCUAUUCAGUAUCGGGUUUACUGAAGCUUCAUAAAAGACGUUGUAGUUACAUUGUUGGUUGUGAGUUUACUUUUGAUGCAUUACGGAAAUAACACAAACGGAUUCACCAUCAUUAAAGCAUCCGUAUUUCAUUGCAGAAAGCAAGAGGUUAUAUGCUUCACUGAAGAUGAGGGAUUCGUAUGUGUGGGUUAAGCUCGCUUUGAUUCAGGUGGAAGACAGUAAGAAAACAUGGGACAGAAGAAGACAUUUGGUGGUUUGUAUCUCGUGAGUUCCAUGUAAUAAGUGUAGUAAUAAGUUGUAUCUCGUGAGUAGACAGUAACCUUGUGACAGAAGAAGACAUUUGGUGGUUUGUAUCUCGUGAGUUCAAUGUAAUAAGUGUUGUAAUAAGUUGUAUCUUGUGAGUAGACAGUAACCUUGUGACAGAAGAAGACAAUAUUAGUUGUGUCUUUAUAAGUUGUGUCUUUAUAAGUUGUGUUUUGCUUUCUUAUUUCUUAUUUUUCUCCAAAACGUGUACCGAGCACAUCAAAACGAUACUAAAAGAACCGAGCAAAACAUAACACAAUAUUUCUUCACAUAUCUUUCUACGUUGUUUCUUCACAUUUCUUAACUUAUUUCUUCUAAAUUGUUUCUGCACAUUUCUUAACUACCGAGAGAGAGAUACUCUAUAUUGUUUCUUCACAUUUCUUAACUUCUUUCUUCACAUAUCUUUUUUAAUGGCAUCAUCUUCUUCUAAUAAUUUCGAAGAAAUGGAUAAAAGAUUUGAACAAAGUUUCGAUCAACAAUUCGAAAAUCUUCUCAUUCAUCAUGGCGAGCAUGAAGAAGUAUCAAGGUCUAAAAAGAAACAAGCCUACAUUGAAAGACAACGAGAAUAAGGACACAUGCAGUUAUGGAACGAUUAUUUUAGUGAAGAUGCAACAUAUCCUUCUCACAUGUUUCGACGCCGUUUUCGAAUGAACAAGCCCUUGUUCAUGCGUAUUGUUGAUCGACUCUCCGUUGAACUCCCAUACUUUCAACAAAGAAGAGAUGCUACUGGAAGGUUCUGUCACUCUCCGUUACAAAAGGCAACGACAUCAAUUCAUAUGAUGACAUAUGGUUGCCCAGCUGAUGCGGUCGACGAAUACCUCCGACUUGGUGAGUCCACCGCACUUUUAUGCUUGGAACAUUUUGUUCUUGGAAUCAUAAAUUUACUUGGAGAUGAGUAUCUAAGAAGACCCACGCCAGAAGAUCUUCAACGACUACUCGAUAUUGGAGAGAUACGCGGAUUUCCCGGGAUGAUAGGAAGCACCGAUUGUAUGCAUUGGGAGUGGAAGAAUUGUCCGGCCGCAUGGAAAUGUCAAUAUACACGUGGAUCAGGAAAGCCAACCAUUGUUUUAGAGGCUGUAGCUUCACACGAUAUCUGAUAUGGCAUGCAUUUUUCGGACCCCCAGGUACAUUAAACGAUAUCAAUAUUCUUGAUCGAUCACCGGUUUUUGAUGAUAUAUUACAAGGUCGAGCUCCAAAGGUUAAUUACAUUGUCAACGGACACGAGUACCAUUUGGCUUACUAUCUCACAUAUGGUAUUUAUCCAAAAUGGGCUACUUUUGUCCAAUCUAUUUCACUUCCGCAAGGUCCGAAAGCAUCCUUAUUCGCUACACAUCAAGAAGUUGUACGUAAAGAUGUCGAGCGUACUUUUGGGGUCUUGCAAGUUCGAUUUGCCAUAGUCAAAAAUCCAGCUCUUUUGUGGGAUAAAAUAAAAAUUGGAAAGAUAAUGAGAGCAUGUAUCAUUCUACAUAAUAUGAUCGUAGAAGACGAACGAGAUGGGUGCACUCAGUUUGAUGUAUCAGUGUUUGCACAACCGAAGUUCACAAGUGGAUUUCACGUAUUCUACGAAUAUGCCUUCAAAUCUCGGCAAUAUGAUGAGCAUUCGGAAUCGAGUUCGUGAUAAAACAAUACAUCAACAAUUGAAAGCUGAUUUGGUUGAGAAUAUAUGACAAAAAUUUGGAACAAAUCAAGAUUUUAACUAAUCGGCUUUUUCUCGUUUACAAUUUGUAUUUGUAUUUUUAAUAUGUUUUUAUGUCAUUUUUAUUAAAAAAUUUAUGUAUGCUUUUAUUUUAAAUCAUUCUACUUAAAAAAAUAAAUUUAAGAACCCAACGAAGUUAUCCCAUUAGAGGAGGAAAAAAAUAUUUUCACUAACUAAAGUUCUUAACUUUUUAAAUAACUUUAUUAAUUACUAAUUAAUUUAAUCAUAAGAGGUCAUUAGGGGUUCUAAUGGAAGGACUUGCUCCGAAAAACUUCAAGCUCUGUCCGUAUUCCAUCUUAUGUUUCCUUGCACUUCGCUUGCACAGCCGCAAUUCACUGAUAGAGCUUGCGGCAACUGUGAAGAUUUUCUUUUAAGAACAAUACAACUCUUUUGUUUUACAUACAAAAACUAAACUCAGAGCAACUAAGAAUCUGAGAUCAACAAUGGUUAGAAUAUUAAAGCUACAAAAAAAAGGAUAUCCGUUACAGUCCAAUCAGUUUGACCAAGUGAAAUAUUGUUGUAUUUUUCAACACGUCGCUUACACAGAAACUGACGCUUUAGGGCAAAGCGCUUUGCUUCAAGUCUUGUUUAAACCGAACCGGAAAAAAAAGCGGUUUACACAAACCGUUAUUUCGUUUCAUAGGCUUUCUCUCUCGCUAUCCAAUUACUUCAUCUUUUUCGAGCCUAAAAUACUAAAUCAGGGUCAGGCUCAAUAUGGGCCAAGUUAGCUUAGCCCGUCAUAACAUUUCAGUGGCACAUACGGCCCACUGGCUUCCUCUGCGUUCUGUGUGGUGAUUGAAGCCCGUUUUGCUACUUCUUUUAUCUUUUGUACUGAACUGUUUUGUUUCUUCCUGUCCUCUGGUUCUUGAGCAGCUCAAAGAGAAGGCGCUAAAGUGAGCUGGACUGGCAGAGAACAUGUGUUGCAGAGAGUGAAGGGAGAGGACAGACGCAAGAAAAAAUAAAGAAUAUGAAAGAUUUGGAGACCAGUCAAGAGCCUGCAACUACAACUUGAGCUUUUAAACUUAUAUACUAUAGUCUCUAUUCUUGUUUUGUAUCAUAUUUGUUGAUUUCGAGUAACGUCUAAAGAGUUACAUUGAAUUCUUGCUUCAUUCAUUUUUGCUGUGUGGUGUUCUCAGAGUAACCAUAGGAAGUUAAUUGUCUAUUUAACUAAAAGAAAAUGAUAGCCAAGCGAAAAGGUGAGAACGCUUUAAAAAUCCAACUAAACUGAACCGGAUCUGGUUUGUUGAUUUCGAUUCAAUCCGGUUAUGUAAUCAACGUGGAAAAGGAAAAGAAACUGGUUUGCCAAAUUUAUUGUUCUUACAAAUCUUGUUUUUGACUUGAGCAAAGAGAUGUUAGUUUUGGAGUAUACAUGUGGUGGAGUCUCACAUGGGUUUCACUAGAUAUAGGUUUGAGGCGGGUAAUGAUGAAACAAGGGAAUCAUUAGGAAAAUUCGGGGUCCCUCAUUUCAAUGUCGACUGUCUCCUCAAAUAUAUUUCUUCUUAUUAAAUGAAAUAUUCGUAUCAAUCCAAAAAUGUGAAU
Molecule: long non-coding RNA, 3895 nt
Organism: Brassica napus (rape)
Lineage: Eukaryota; Viridiplantae; Streptophyta; Magnoliopsida; Brassicales; Brassicaceae
Exons: 4
Source: RefSeq, a predicted model, not a curated record